This 352-nucleotide ribosomal RNA is filed under the name uncultured soil bacterium. Its description in RNAcentral is "bacterial SSU rRNA". It matches the Rfam family "Bacterial small subunit ribosomal RNA", at positions 512 to 863 of the family's 1533-position model. The record is from RNAcentral.
CAGCCGCGGUAAUACAGAGGGUGCGAGCGUUAAUCGGAAUUACUGGGCGUAAAGCGUGCGUAGACGGUUAUGUAAGUCGGGUGUGAAAGCCCCGGGCUCAACCUGGGAAUUGCAUUCGAGACUGCAUAGCUAGGGUGCGGAAGAGGGAAGCGGAAUUUCCGGUGUAGCGGUGAAAUGCGUAGAUAUCGGAAGGAACACCAGUGGCGAAAGCGGCUUCCUGGUCCAGCACCGACGUUCAGGCACGAAAGCGUGGGGAGCAAACAGGAUUAGAUACCCUGGUAGUCCACGCCAUAAACGAUGAGAACUAGACGUUGAGAGGGUAAGCCUCCCAGUGUCGUAGCUAACGCGCUAA